GCAUAACAAUGGAUGACACAUGUCAUUUAUUUGAAAGGGGCAAAUUGCUCCACUACAAGAUGGACCUGCGUUGUAUUAGCUAGUAGGUGAGGUAAUGGCGUCACCUAGGCGACGAUACAUAGCCGACCUNAGAGGGUGAUCGGCCACACUGGGACUGAGACACGGCCCAGACUCCUACGGGAGGCAGCAUG
RNAcentral lists this ribosomal RNA (191 nucleotides) under uncultured bacterium. Its description in RNAcentral is "partial 16S ribosomal RNA". It matches the Rfam family "Bacterial small subunit ribosomal RNA", at positions 171 to 353 of the family's 1533-position model. The record is from RNAcentral.